RNAcentral lists this unclassified non-coding RNA (250 nucleotides) under Sarocladium implicatum. RNAcentral describes it as "partial contains 5.8S ribosomal RNA, internal transcribed spacer 2, and large subunit ribosomal RNA". The record is from RNAcentral. Lineage: Eukaryota; Fungi; Ascomycota; Sordariomycetes; Hypocreales; Sarocladiaceae.
CGCACAUUGCGCCCGCCAGUAUUCUGGCGGGCAUGCCUGUUCGAGCGUCAUUUCAACCCUCAAGCCCCCGGGCUUGGUGUUGGGAAUCGACCGGCUAGCUCCGAUCGCUCCCUAAAUACAGUGGCGAUCCCACCAACGCACCCUUGGCGUAGUAACAUACCCCGUCCUGGAGCUUGGUGUGGUCAGGCCGUUAAACCCCCCACUUCUCAAGGUUGACCUCGGAUCAGGUAGGAAUACCCGCUGAACUUAA